Molecule: small nuclear RNA, 163 nt
Filed under: Callithrix jacchus (white-tufted-ear marmoset)
Lineage: Eukaryota; Metazoa; Chordata; Mammalia; Primates; Cebidae
Description: U1 spliceosomal RNA (ENSCJAG00000077490.1)
Rfam family: U1 spliceosomal RNA
About the family: U1 is a small nuclear RNA (snRNA) component of the spliceosome (involved in pre-mRNA splicing). Its 5' end forms complementary base pairs with the 5' splice junction, thus defining the 5' donor site of an intron. There are significant differences in sequence and secondary structure between metazoan and yeast U1 snRNAs, the latter being much longer (568 nucleotides as compared to 164 nucleotides in human).
Source: Rfam by way of RNAcentral
AGAUUGGGUGGCAGGGGAGAUACCAUGAUCACGAAGGUGGUUUUCCCAGGGCAAGGCUUAUCCAUUGCACUCUGGAUGUGCUGACCCCUGCGAUUUCCCCAAAUGUGGGAAACUCGACUGCAUAAUUUGUGGUAGUGGGGGACUGCGUUCGUGCUUUCCCCUG